CUGCAUUCUACAGUGCUUGUGUCUCCAGUGGGAGUAGGCAGCUGGAGAUGCAGCCCUGUUGGGAUCCC
RNAcentral lists this microRNA precursor (68 nucleotides) under Dryobates pubescens (Downy woodpecker). RNAcentral describes it as "Picoides pubescens (downy woodpecker) mir-139 microRNA precursor family". It matches the Rfam family "mir-139 microRNA precursor family". The record is from Rfam by way of RNAcentral. Lineage: Eukaryota; Metazoa; Chordata; Aves; Piciformes; Picidae.